This 71-nucleotide transfer RNA is filed under the name Scolopsis ciliata. Its description in RNAcentral is "tRNA-Gly". It matches the Rfam family "tRNA". Rfam says of the family: Transfer RNA (tRNA) molecules are approximately 80 nucleotides in length. Their secondary structure includes four short double-helical elements and three loops (D, anti-codon, and T loops). The record is from RNAcentral. RNAcentral also lists the same sequence under 1 other name. Lineage: Eukaryota; Metazoa; Chordata; Actinopteri; Spariformes; Nemipteridae.
GUCUUUCUAGUAUAGUGUUAGUACUACUGGCUUCCAACCAUUGGGUCUUGGUUAAAUCCCAAGGAAAGAUA